UACGUAGGGGGCGAGCGUUGUCCGGAUUUAUUGGGCGUAAAGCGCGGGCAGGCGGCCCCGUAAGUCGGCCGUGAAAGCGCCGGGCUCAACCCGGCGAGGACGGGCGAGACUGCAGGGCCCGAGAGAGGCAGAGGGCGGUGGAAUUCCGGGUGUAGUGGUGGAAUGCGUAGAUAUCUGGAGGAACACCGGUGGCGAAGGCGGCAUCCUGGACCAACACUGACACUGAGGAGCGAAAGCCAGGGGAGCAAACGGG
Molecule: ribosomal RNA, 253 nt
Filed under: uncultured bacterium
Lineage: Bacteria
Description: partial 16S ribosomal RNA
Rfam family: Bacterial small subunit ribosomal RNA
Source: RNAcentral